CGCCGCCUCGAUCUCUGCUACCCCGCCGCUUCGAUCUCUGCUACCCCGCCGCUUCGACCCUCUCCGAACCCUCGCCGCUUCGAUCCUUGCUACUCCCGCCGGUGGAGGUGGAUGCGGCGCUAGGGCAACCCGUGGUGGUGAGCACGUAGGCGUUCCGGGAGGCGGCGAGGGCGGCAUGGCGCGCCGUGGACGGCGGCAGGUCGUCGGCAGUGGACGCCGUGGUCCCCAGAUGCUCCCCCUGCGAGGAGCUCCGCUACGACGGCACGGGUCAGUAUGGGUGUGGUGGUGCUAAAAGGUUCAGCUGAGACUCCAUUUCUCAUAGUCGAAGUAAAUUGCCAUAGAGAUGUUGGUUUCCAGAUAUAUGCCUGUUUCUUACCAUUCUUGGAAGCAUAUAAUGAGGCUCUUUGUUCAGCUAGCUUGGUUUACAGACCAGAUGCAAGCUACAAUAUCUCCUUUUUGUCACGCGGGGACGCGACAGAGAGCAGCGUGGCGGUGAAGAGGAACCACGGCACGCCGCCGUUCGACAGCUGCGCGAAGAUGCCGUUGCCCUUUGCCAGCUCGACAGCCACCGCCGACGUGAACCCCACCAUCGCUAGCCGCCUGUUGAUCCGCUCCGGCGCCGGCCCGCUGAAUGAAUUUGGUGCUCACCUGGAGCGCAACAUUGAAAAAUGCUCUAUCACCCUAUAAGCUCGGAGGUGGUGGGGGGAGGAAGCGAUUUCGAUCCAAUCGGAAAGAGUGAGAGCGAGAUCAUGCGAUUUUGUCAAAGCUUCAUGGACGAGCUGUAUAGGUAUCUGGGACUUGAUCAGUUAAUUAAAGAAUCAUACCAAUUCACUAGCUUUGUUCCAAAUAGGUCACUUACUCUUUGAAUCUGGAUUGUGCCCGCCGCUUUGAUCCCUACUACCCCCGCCUCUUCGAUAGUGUCUAUUACUCCUUUCGCCGCUUCGAUCAUGUCGGUUGCUCCCCUAAUGCCUGAAAAAAUGGGUUUGGUUCAUUCUCGCUCCUUCUUCCUUCGUCGUCUCGGUUUUGUUUUCCUGUUGCUUCGAUCCCCUCUAUCAGCCCCUCUGUCGCUUCGAUCCGGUCGAUUGGCCCCAGCAGGACGCUGAGAAAACUGACAUUGAUCAUUUAUGGGAGAUAGGACGCAAACCUUCAACAGGUGGAUUGUUUGUUUCUGAAGGAGACGCUGUUCUUCUUGCUCAUAUUGAUGGUACCUGUUCUUACUAUGACAUUACAAAUUGUGAGAUUAAGACUAAAUAUAAGCCGCCAGGUGGAGUGUCACCCAACUUAUGGGGUGAUUGUUGGCUAAUUCGUUCCCCUGGUGCAGAUGGAUGCUGUGGGAGAUAUGGGUUUGCAGCUUCAGCUGGAAGCAUUUUGAACUCCGAAUUUUGUUCAUGGGAUUUUUUAUCAAAGAGACGUUACAACAUUCCACAUUGAUUUAGAAACACCUAAUUCCUGUCCACAAUCAAAACUGUUACAACUUCUUUAUAUAACCGGUUAAAUAAACCCACUUGGGAAGGAUCGUUCCAAUAAAAUUGCCAAAGCGAUUGGGAAAGCUGCAGAUAAUGCUCGCCAAGCAAAAUCCAAAAAGAAGUUAUUUUAUAUUCCUACAAUAACUAAUCAUACUCAAGUUUGGUGGCUUCCUAAUGUGGUUGUGGCAAACGAGAAGGAAUAGAGGAUCUUGCUUCUGUACGCCCUAUAUGCAAGGUUUAUGAGAAUAUUCCAAUAAUUUAUUCAGUAUCAUGUAUUUAUUUGAUGCACAUAUUACAGUAUAUUGGUUCUCUUCUUCUUCUUCUUUUCUAUUUUAAAGAUCCAACUUUUUUCUUUUGGAAUAUAUGUUAUGUAAAUAGCAUAUGUUGAAGAUAGGAAACUA
This is a long non-coding RNA of Ananas comosus (pineapple), 1867 nucleotides long. RefSeq lists it as uncharacterized. Lineage: Eukaryota; Viridiplantae; Streptophyta; Magnoliopsida; Poales; Bromeliaceae. The record is from RefSeq and is a predicted model, not a curated record. The transcript has 7 exons.